Molecule: unclassified non-coding RNA, 384 nt
Filed under: fungal sp.
Lineage: Eukaryota; Fungi
Description: partial internal transcribed spacer region
Rfam family: Eukaryotic small subunit ribosomal RNA (bases 1-46)
Source: RNAcentral
AAGUCGUAACAAGGUUUCCGUAGGUGAACCUGCGGAAGGAUCAUUAACACGUAUCCAACGUUAAACAACCCUGUGAACUUUAUGAGGAACAGCAAUCCCGGUAAAUCAUUGCCAAACAGUUUUGAUUCGGGACCUCUGUCCAAAAGGAGUUGCAAUCGAAGGGUGGAAGCAGUGGCAUGGCUUCCCCAAGCAGUUAGUGAAUGACAGUGUCACUGACUGUGUAAGGAUAACGCCUCACGGUUGCUAGAGGUCGAUCACCGACCGGCAGACAUGUCACAGGGUCACCACGCCCCUUAAUCACUCCACUUGAAAAUGCCCCGCCUAGUGGUAACGCGCUAGGUAAAAAAAACCGAACAACUGUUAACAAUGGAUAUCUUGGUUCUC